GACGAACGCUGGCGGCGUGCCUAAUACAUGCAAGUAGAACGCUGAAGAGAGGAGCUUGCUCUUCUUGGAUGAGUUGCGAACGGGUGAGUAACGCGUAGGUAACCUGCCUUGUAGCGGGGGAUAACUAUUGGAAACGAUAGCUAAUACCGCAUAACAAUGGCUGACACAUGUCAUUUAUUUGAAAGGGGCAAUUGCUCCACUACAAGAUGGACCUGCGUUGUAUUAGCUAGUAGGUGAGGUAACGGCUCACCUAGGCGACGAUACAUAGCCGACCUGAGAGGGUGAUCGGCCACACUGGGACUGAGACACGGCCCAGACUCCUACGGGAGGCAGCAGUAGGGAAUCUUCGGCAAUGGGGGCAACCCUGACCGAGCAACGCCGCGUGAGUGAAGAAGGUUUUCGGAUCGGAAAGCUCUGUUGUAAGUCAAGAACGAGUGUGAGAGUGGAAAGUUCACACUGUGACGGUAGCUGACCAGAAAGGGACGGCUAACUACGUG
RNAcentral lists this ribosomal RNA (497 nucleotides) under uncultured bacterium. Its description in RNAcentral is "partial 16S ribosomal RNA". It matches the Rfam family "Bacterial small subunit ribosomal RNA", at positions 28 to 507 of the family's 1533-position model. The record is from RNAcentral.